RNAcentral lists this ribosomal RNA (218 nucleotides) under uncultured bacterium. RNAcentral's name for it is "partial 16S ribosomal RNA". It matches the Rfam family "Bacterial small subunit ribosomal RNA", at positions 326 to 539 of the family's 1533-position model. The record is from RNAcentral.
ACGCUCGACACCUACGGUAGGCAGCAGUGAGGAAUAUUGGUCAAUGGGCGCAGGCCUGAACCAGCCAAGUAGCGUGAAGGAUGACUGCCCUAUGGGUUGUAAACUUCUUUUAUAUGGGAAUAAAGUUUUCCACGUGUGGAAUUUUGUAUGUACCAUAUGAAUAAGGAUCGGCUAACUCCGCGCCAGCAGCCGCGGUAAUCUGAGCGGGCUGGCAAGGC